RNAcentral lists this ribosomal RNA (253 nucleotides) under uncultured bacterium. RNAcentral's name for it is "partial 16S ribosomal RNA". It matches the Rfam family "Bacterial small subunit ribosomal RNA", at positions 524 to 776 of the family's 1533-position model. The record is from RNAcentral.
UACGAGGGGUGCAAGCGUUAUCCGGAAUUAUUGGGCGUAAAGAGCUCGUAGGCGGUUUGUCGCGUCUGCCGUGAAAGUCCGGGGCUCAACUCCGGAUCUGCGGUGGGUACGGGCAGACUAGAGUGAUGUAGGGGAGACUGGAAUUCCUGGUGUAGCGGUGAAAUGCGCAGAUAUCAGGAGGAACACCGAUGGCGAAGGCAGGUCUCUGGGCAUUAACUGACGCUGAGGAGCGAAAGCAUGGGGAGCGAACAGG